Molecule: transfer RNA, 22 nt
Filed under: Etmopterus bigelowi (blurred smooth lantern shark)
Lineage: Eukaryota; Metazoa; Chordata; Chondrichthyes; Squaliformes; Etmopteridae
Description: partial tRNA-Phe
Source: RNAcentral
AAAAUUAAAAAUUUCCGCAGCA